Molecule: ribosomal RNA, 796 nt
Filed under: uncultured bacterium
Lineage: Bacteria
Description: bacterial SSU rRNA
Rfam family: Bacterial small subunit ribosomal RNA
Source: RNAcentral
AGAGUUUGAUCCUGGCUCAGAACGAACGCUGGCGGCAGGCCUAAUACAUGCAAGUCGAACGCCCCGCAAGGGGAGUGGCGCACGGGUGAGUAACGCGUGGGGAUGUGCCCUUGGGUACGGAACAACAUCGGGAAACUGGUGCUAAUACCGUAUAAUGACUCUGGUCCAAAGAUUUAUCGCCCAAGGAUCAACCCGCGUUGGAUUAGCUAGUUGGUGAGGUAAUGGCUCACCAAGGCUACGAUCCAUAGCUGGUCUUAGAGGAUGAUCAGCCACACUGGAACUGAGACACGGUCCAGACUCCUACGGGAGGCAGCAGUAAGGAAUAUUGGACAAUGGGGGAAACCCUGAUCCAGCCAUGCCGCGUGAAUGAAGAAGGCCUUAGGGUUGUAAAGUUCUUUUAGGGGUGACGAUAAUGACGGUAGCCCCAGAAAAAGCUCCGGCUAACUCCGUGCCAGCAGCCGCGGUAAUACGGAGGGAGCGAGCGUUGUUCGGAAUUACUGGGCGUAAAGGGUGCGCAGGCGGCCUUAUAAGUCAGAAGUGAAAGCCCUGGGCUCAACCCAGGAAUUGCUUUUGAAACUGCAAGGCUAGAGUAUCGGAGAGGUUGGCGGAAUUCCCAGUGUAGAGGUGAAAUUCGUAGAUAUUGGGAGGAACACCAGUGGCGUAAGCGGCCAACUAGACGAUUACUGACGCUCAGGCACGAAAGCGUGGGGAUCAAACAGGAUUAGAUACCCUGGUAGUCCACGCUGUAAACGAUGUGUGCUAGCUGCUGGGCAGUUUACUGUUCGGUGGCGCAGCU